This 71-nucleotide transfer RNA is filed under the name Candidatus Pacearchaeota archaeon. RNAcentral's name for it is "tRNA-Val". It matches the Rfam family "tRNA". From Rfam's summary of the family: Transfer RNA (tRNA) molecules are approximately 80 nucleotides in length. Lineage: Archaea; Nanobdellati. The record is from RNAcentral.
GGCCCCGUAGGCUAAUGGUAGACCGUGUCCUUGACGUGGACAAGGCCCAAGUUCGAUUCUUGGUGGGGCCA